GAUACUCCAUAGCUCAGUGGUUAGAGCAUCCGACCGGUGUACGGAAGAUCAUGGGUUCAAAUCCCGUCGGGAACU
Molecule: transfer RNA, 75 nt
Filed under: Desmophyllum pertusum
Lineage: Eukaryota; Metazoa; Cnidaria; Anthozoa; Scleractinia; Caryophylliidae
Description: tRNA-Thr
Rfam family: tRNA (bases 10-67)
About the family: Transfer RNA (tRNA) molecules are approximately 80 nucleotides in length. Their secondary structure includes four short double-helical elements and three loops (D, anti-codon, and T loops).
Source: RNAcentral